This 413-nucleotide ribosomal RNA is filed under the name Salmonella enterica. Its description in RNAcentral is "partial 23S ribosomal RNA". It matches the Rfam family "Bacterial large subunit ribosomal RNA", at positions 161 to 613 of the family's 2925-position model. RNAcentral also lists the same sequence under 1 other name. Lineage: Bacteria; Pseudomonadati; Pseudomonadota; Gammaproteobacteria; Enterobacterales; Enterobacteriaceae. The record is from RNAcentral.
AAUCCAUAGGUUAAUGAGGCGAACCGGGGGAACUGAAACAUCUAAGUACCCCGAGGAAAAGAAAUCAACCGAGAUUCCCCCAGUAGCGGCGAGCGAACGGGGAGGAGCCCAGAGCCUGAAUCAGCAUGUGUGUUAGUGGAAGCGUCUGGAAAGGCGCGCGAUACAGGGUGACAGCCCCGUACACAAAAGCGCAUGUGCUGUGAGCUCGAUGAGUAGGGCGGGACACGUGGUAUCCUGUCUGAAUAUGGGGGGACCAUCCUCCAAGGCUAAAUACUCCUGACUGACCGAUAGUGAACCAGUACCGUGAGGGAAAGGCGAAAAGAACCCCGGCGAGGGGAGUGAAAAAGAACCUGAAACCGUGUACGUACAAGCAGUGGGAGCACCCUUUGGGUGUGACUGCGUACCUUUUGUAU